UUCGGUUUUUUCGAGUCAAUGUUGUUCUUUUCGAGGGUUUUUGGUUUUUGCUGCUGCAACAGAGAGCGUGAGCACGCGCAAGGGUCUGAAUUCGCGAAUAAACUGAAACACAUGAAGCGAAAUUAAGGCCAACACGGCGAAAGCUCGUCCAAAAAAGCUUGAGAGAAAUUGUUGGACCAGUCGGUGAGGGGCAGAAAGGGGAUGGGCCACCCCCAGCAGCUGUUUGGGCUGCACGUGAGCGAAAAAAAGAAACCCGAUCGAAAAUUAAUCGCCAUCUUGUCAACUCUUAUUACCCAAUAAAAAUCGGCACGCUUAUCUAGGCCCCUGGCGGUUGGCCGGGAAUCUUCGGUGCUCUUAUCUUAUCAAUGGACUCCCACACCAGCGUCCAACAAAAACGAACCAUUCCUUCUAUUCAUCUCUCUCCCUGUCUCUUUCUUGACAACCGGCGUCUUGCAACACUGGCCUCGCAAACAGGCUUGCUUUACACCCAGAUCACUGGAGAAAUAUAUCGAUACGAAAUAUACGCUCGCAAAAUUUGAAAUUUAGUUUCAGGUACGAAAAUUAUUCAAAAUGUUUCUCUGUGUAAAGAACGCUUAUCGUGGACUCAAGAAAGUAUCAAACAGAUUUAUUUUAAUUGCACUAUUUACGCAAAUAUAAGGCCACCAAAUGAAUAUAAGUUUUCUAAAUCUUUCUAAUCGGACCCUCCCAAGCCAAAUAUUUCCUUUUGCUGUGUGCCGAAAGAAGGGAUUUUAGAAAAGUUUGAAUUAUUGUUAGUUACAAAAU
Drosophila melanogaster (fruit fly) is the source of this 783-nucleotide non-coding RNA. The record is from Ensembl. NCBI's taxonomy places the organism in Eukaryota, Metazoa, Arthropoda, Insecta, Diptera, Drosophilidae.